CCUACGGGAGGCAGCAGUGAGGAAUAUUGGUCAAUGGACGAGAGUCUGAACCAGCCAAGUAGCGUGAAGGAUGACUGCCCUAUGGGUUGUACACUUCUUUUAUAUGGGAAUAAAAUGUUCCACGUGUGGGAUUUUGUAUGUACCAUAUGAAUAAGGAUCGGCUAACUCCGUGCCAGCAGCCGCGGUAAUACGGAGGAUCCGAGCGUUAUCCGGAUUUAUUGGGUUUAACGGGAGCGUAGAUGGGUUGUUACGUCAGUUGUGAAAGUUUGCGGCUCAACCGUAAAAUUGCAAUUGAUACUGGCAGUCUGGAGUACAGUUGAGGUAGGCGGAAUUCGUGGUGGAGCGGUGAAAUGCUUAGAUAUCACGAAGAACCCCGAUUGCGAAGGCAGCUUACUAAACUGUGACUGACAUUGAUGCUCGAAAGUGUGGGUAUCAAACAGGAUUAGAUACCCCUGUAGUC
This 460-nucleotide ribosomal RNA is filed under the name uncultured bacterium. Its description in RNAcentral is "partial 16S ribosomal RNA". It matches the Rfam family "Bacterial small subunit ribosomal RNA", at positions 338 to 795 of the family's 1533-position model. The record is from RNAcentral.